GACGAACGCUGGCGGCGUGCUUAACACAUGCAAGUCGAACGGAAAGGCCCUGCUUGCAGGGUACUCGAGUGGCGAACGGGUGAGUAACACGUGGGUGAUCUGCCCUGCACUUCGGGAUACGCCUGGGAAACUGGGUCUAAUACCGGUAAGGAGCCAUUUUUAGUGUGAGGGUUGGAAAGAUUUUUCGGUGUAGGAUGAGCUCGCGGCCUAUCAGCUUGUUGGUGGGGUAAUGGCCUACCAAGGCGGCGACGGGUAGCCGGACUGAGAGGGUGGACGGCCACCUUGGGUCCGACAGGCGGCCGAGACUCCGACGGGAGGCAGCAGUGGGGAAUAUUGAACAAUGGGCGCAAGGCUGAUGCAGCGACGCCGCGUGGGGGAUGACGGCCUUCGGGUUGUAAACGCCUUGCGCGAGGGACGAAGCUUUUUGUGACGGUACCUAGAGAAGAAGCACCGGUUAACUACGUG
Molecule: ribosomal RNA, 465 nt
Filed under: uncultured bacterium
Lineage: Bacteria
Description: partial 16S ribosomal RNA
Rfam family: Bacterial small subunit ribosomal RNA
Source: RNAcentral